UAGGCUAUUGUAAAACACUGUCAAGUCAUUCCUUGACCCCAAGACCACUGCUAAGAUUAACAUGGUCCGCAAUGGCUCGCACAGGAUGACUCCUGUCGAGGAGGAGAAGACAAUCCCAGAGGAUGGUAGCGUCAGCGUCAGCAUGAGCGUGAAGAAGCCAGCAUCCAUCAAGAUUGAAUCUCCCAAGAAUUGGAAGCUCUUUCCGGUUCAAGAGAAAACCGGCCAGCCUGAUGUGUAUGUACCCAUGGUUGAUAAGACAGUUGAUCUGCAGAAUAAUGAUGAGGGAGAUGUGUGUAAAAGUAGGGUUGAUCAAGUAGAAGGAAGCCACAGAAGAGCGUGGCGGUGGCCAAUGCAAGCCAUGAGGU
Ipomoea nil (Japanese morning glory) is the source of this 365-nucleotide long non-coding RNA. RefSeq lists it as uncharacterized. The record is from RefSeq and is a predicted model, not a curated record. NCBI's taxonomy places the organism in Eukaryota, Viridiplantae, Streptophyta, Magnoliopsida, Solanales, Convolvulaceae. The transcript has 3 exons.